UACGUAGGUCCCGAGCGUUGUCCGGAUUUAUUGGGCGUAAAGCGAGCGCAGGUGGUUUAAUAAGUCUGAUGUGAAAGCCCACGGCUCAACCGUGGAGGGUCAUUGGAAACUGGGGGACUUGAGUGCAGAAGAGGAAAGUGGAAUUCCAAGUGUAGCGGUGAAAUGCGUAGAUAUAUGGAGGAACACCGGUGGCGAAAGCGGCUCUCUGGACUGUAACUGACACUGAGGCGCGAAAGCGUGGGGAGCAAACAGG
Molecule: ribosomal RNA, 253 nt
Filed under: uncultured microorganism
Description: partial 16S ribosomal RNA
Rfam family: Bacterial small subunit ribosomal RNA
Source: RNAcentral